This 513-nucleotide unclassified non-coding RNA is filed under the name uncultured Glomus. RNAcentral describes it as "SSU rRNA". It matches the Rfam family "Eukaryotic small subunit ribosomal RNA", at positions 569 to 1083 of the family's 1831-position model. The record is from RNAcentral. Lineage: Eukaryota; Fungi; Glomeromycota; Glomeromycetes; Glomerales; Glomeraceae.
AGCAGCCGCGGUAAUUCCAGCUCCAAUAGCGUAUAUUAAAGUUGUUGCAGUUAAAAGCUCGUAGUUGAAUUUCGGGAUCAGUGGGUCGGUCGUGCCACUGGUAUGCACUGGCCCUACUGGUUCCUCCUUCUUGAAGAACUUGUAAUGCCAUUAAUUUGGUGUUGCAGGGAAACAGGACUGUUACUUUGAAAAAUUGAGUGUUUAAAGCAGGCAAUCGCUUGAAUACAUUAGCAUGGAGUAAUGAAAUAGGACGAUCGAUCCUAUUUUGUUGGUUUCUAGGAUUGACGUAAUGAUUAAUAGGGAUAGUUGGGGGCAUUAGUAUUCAAUUGUCAGAGGUGAAAUUCUUGGAUUUAUUGAAGACUAACUACUGCGAAAGCAUUUGCCAAGGAUGUUUUCAUUAAUCAAGAACGAAAGUUAGGGAUCGAAGACGAUCAGAUACCGUCGUAGUCUUAACCAUUAAACUAUGCCGACUAGGGAUCGGAUGAUGUUAAUUUUUAAUGUACUUCUAUUCGG